UACGUAAGGUAGUAGAAGGGUAGGGGAGUCGACAACGACCUCAUGCUCGUGGAGCGCGAUAUCUGAUUAGCUAGUUGGUAGGGUAAAAGCCUACCAAGGCAUCGAUCAGUAGCUGGUCUGAGAGGACGACCAGCCACACUGGAACUGAGACACGGUCCAGACUCCUACGGGAGGCAGCAGUGGGGAAUUUUGGACAAUGGGCGAAAGCCUGAUCCAGCAAUGCCGCGUGAGUGAAGAAGGCCUUCGGGUUGUAAAGCUCUUUUGCCAGGGAAGAAACGGUGAGAGCUAAUAUCUUUUGCUAAUGACGGUACCUGAAGAAUAAGCACCGGCUAACUACGUG
Molecule: ribosomal RNA, 340 nt
Filed under: uncultured Janthinobacterium sp.
Lineage: Bacteria; Pseudomonadati; Pseudomonadota; Betaproteobacteria; Burkholderiales; Oxalobacteraceae
Description: bacterial SSU rRNA
Rfam family: Bacterial small subunit ribosomal RNA
Source: RNAcentral